UAUUGUUUAUAAAGAGAUGAAGAAACCAUUUCUCAUAUAUGGAUACUUCAUUAGUUUUGAGAAUUAUUGAAGAAAAUUUUGUUUUUUGGGUUUCGAAGAGGUUGAGGGCAUCAUGGACUUAUGUGCAGCUGCAAAUUCUGAAAUGGGAUUUGGAAGGCCUUGACCCUAGUUAUGUUAUUCCAGAGAAACUCUACAGUUUUUAGUGAGGUUAGAAUAUGUACUCCGUAUUAUUUUAUGUUUUCUUAAAUCACUCAAUUCUUCUUUUUCUUUUUUAUAUCAAUUGUAACCGUCUGUCUGCUACUGCUUCCAAUUAUUUUCAUUAUUCUCAUUUGUUUUCGUAAUCCAUAUAAUUUUAUUUUUUAUUUACCUGACAAUGUUUUAAUAUUGCGUUUGUUAUCAAUACCAACGAGAUAUAUAAUUUUAGAUGGCAAACUCGAGUAGCAAAUCAUGUGAAUUCCAACUUAUUCAAAGUUAUGAUAUUUGAAAACGAUAUUUGAUAUUAUAUAUAAUAACUAAGACUCAAAUCCAUAUACAUUAUAAAAUUAUUAAAUUAAAUUAAUAGAAAUGUGCCACUGUAUAUAAUUUGAUAAUAUGCACCACCUAACUAAUCAGACUCGUCAAAUAUAAUCUCACACGGAUUUUAUGUAAAAAAAAAAAAAUCAAUCUUAUAUAGUAUAUAAGAAUGCGAAAAACAAACCAAAUGUAUAUCCAUACUAACUACACACAUAAAACGAGAAAUGCAUAUAUUGCUUCAAGAAAAUAAAGGGACAAAAAAGAAGAGAAAUACAUAUACACGCG
RNAcentral lists this long non-coding RNA (798 nucleotides) under Salvia miltiorrhiza (redroot sage). RNAcentral describes it as "long non-coding RNA (SMIL_LNC013829)". Lineage: Eukaryota; Viridiplantae; Streptophyta; Magnoliopsida; Lamiales; Lamiaceae. The record is from RNAcentral.